GCUGGGCGUGGUGGCUCACGCCUGUAAUCCCAGCACUUUGGGAGGCAGAGGUGGGCGGAUCACCUGAGGUCAGGAGUUCCAGACCAGCCUGGCCAACAUGGUGAAACCCCGUCUCUA
RNAcentral lists this non-coding RNA (117 nucleotides) under Pan paniscus (pygmy chimpanzee). The record is from Rfam by way of RNAcentral. RNAcentral also lists the same sequence under 1 other name. Lineage: Eukaryota; Metazoa; Chordata; Mammalia; Primates; Hominidae.